RNAcentral lists this ribosomal RNA (495 nucleotides) under uncultured bacterium. Its description in RNAcentral is "partial 16S ribosomal RNA". It matches the Rfam family "Bacterial small subunit ribosomal RNA", at positions 28 to 507 of the family's 1533-position model. The record is from RNAcentral.
GACGAACGCUGGCGGCGUGCCUAAUACAUGCAAGUAGAACGCUGAAGGAGGAGCUUGCUCUUCUGGAUGAGUUGCGAACGGGUGAGUAACGCGUAGGUAACCUGCCUGGUAGCGGGGGAUAACUAUUGGAAACGAUAGCUAAUACCGCAUAACAGUAGAUGUUGCAUGACAUUUACUUAAAAGGUGCAAUUGCAUCACUACCAGAUGGACCUGCGUUGUAUUAGCUAGUUGGUGGGGUAACGGCUCACCAAGGCGACGAUACAUAGCCGACCUGAGAGGGUGAUCGGCCACACUGGGACUGAGACACGGCCCAGACUCCUACGGGAGGCAGCAGUAGGGAAUCUUCGGCAAUGGACGGAAGUCUGACCGAGCAACGCCGCGUGAGUGAAGAAGGUUUUCGGAUCGUAAAGCUCUGGUGUAAGAGAAGAACGAGUGUGAGAGUGGAAAGUUCACACUGUGACGGUAUCUUACCAGAAAGGGACGGCUAACUACGUG